This 497-nucleotide ribosomal RNA is filed under the name uncultured bacterium. RNAcentral describes it as "partial 16S ribosomal RNA". It matches the Rfam family "Bacterial small subunit ribosomal RNA", at positions 28 to 507 of the family's 1533-position model. The record is from RNAcentral.
GAUGAACGCUGGCGGCGUGCCUAAUACAUGCAAGUCGAGCGAACAGACGAGGAGCUUGCUCCUUCGACGUUAGCGGCGGACGGGUGAGUAACACGUAGGUAACCUACCUAUAAGACUGGGAUAACUUCGGGAAACCGGAGCUAAUACCGGAUAAUAUUUCGAACCGCAUGGUUCGAUAGUGAAAGAUGGCUUUGCUAUCACUUAUAGAUGGACCUGCGCCGUAUUAGCUAGUUGGUAAGGUAACGGCUUACCAAGGCAACGAUACGUAGCCGACCUGAGAGGGUGGUCGGCCACACUGGAACUGGGACACGGUCCAGACUCCUACGGGAGGCAGCAGUAGGGAAUCUUCCGCAAUGGGCGAAAGCCUGACGGAGCAACGCCGCGUGAGUGAUGAAGGUCUUCGGAUCGUAAAACUCUGUUAUUAGGGAAGAACAAACGUGUAAGUAACUGUGCACGUCUUGACGGUACCUAAUCAGAAAGCCACGGCUAACUACGUG